GAAAAACUACUCCGGGUUCCCUAG
RNAcentral lists this non-coding RNA (24 nucleotides) under Arabidopsis thaliana (thale cress). The record is from RNAcentral. Lineage: Eukaryota; Viridiplantae; Streptophyta; Magnoliopsida; Brassicales; Brassicaceae.